RNAcentral lists this transfer RNA (62 nucleotides) under Lyriocephalus scutatus. RNAcentral describes it as "tRNA-Tyr". The record is from RNAcentral. Lineage: Eukaryota; Metazoa; Chordata; Lepidosauria; Squamata; Agamidae.
GACCAGGGGGACCCUGCCCAUAAAUGAGUUUACAAUUCACCGCCUAAUUCAGCCACCUGACC